This 465-nucleotide ribosomal RNA is filed under the name Vreelandella stevensii. RNAcentral's name for it is "partial 16S ribosomal RNA". It matches the Rfam family "Bacterial small subunit ribosomal RNA", at positions 338 to 795 of the family's 1533-position model. The record is from RNAcentral. Lineage: Bacteria; Pseudomonadati; Pseudomonadota; Gammaproteobacteria; Oceanospirillales; Halomonadaceae.
CCUACGGGUGGCAGCAGUGGGGAAUAUUGGACAAUGGGCGAAAGCCUGAUCCAGCCAUGCCGCGUGUGUGAAGAAGGCCUUCGGGUUGUAAAGCACUUUCAGUGGGGAAGAAAGCCUUGGGGCUAAUACCCUCGAGGAAGGACAUCACCCACAGAAGAAGCACCGGCUAACUCCGUGCCAGCAGCCGCGGUAAUACGGAGGGUGCGAGCGUUAAUCGGAAUUACUGGGCGUAAAGCGCGCGUAGGCGGUCUGAUAAGCCGGUUGUGAAAGCCCCGGGCUCAACCUGGGAACGGCAUCCGGAACUGUCAGGCUAGAGUGCAGGAGAGGAAGGUGGAAUUCCCGGUGUAGCGGUGAAAUGCGUAGAGAUCGGGAGGAAUACCAGUGGCGAAGGCGGCCUUCUGGACUGACACUGACGCUGAGGUGCGAAAGCGUGGGUAGCAAACAGGAUUAGAUACCCGAGUAGUC